UACGUAGGUGGCAAGCGUUGUUCGGAAUUAUUGGGCGUAAAGGGUGUGUAGGCGGUUUGUUAAGUCUGAUGUGAAAGCCCACGGCUCAACCGUGGAGGGUCAUUGGAAACUGGGGGACUUGAGUACAGAAGAGAAGAGUGGAAUUCCACGUGUAGCGGUGAAAUGCGUAGAGAUGUGGAGGAACACCAGUGGCGAAGGCGACUCUUUGGUCUGUAACUGACGCUGAGGCGCGAAAGCGUGGGGAGCAAACAGG
This 253-nucleotide ribosomal RNA is filed under the name uncultured bacterium. Its description in RNAcentral is "partial 16S ribosomal RNA". It matches the Rfam family "Bacterial small subunit ribosomal RNA", at positions 524 to 776 of the family's 1533-position model. The record is from RNAcentral.